This 76-nucleotide transfer RNA is filed under the name Medicago truncatula (barrel medic). RNAcentral describes it as "tRNA-OTHER". The record is from RNAcentral. Lineage: Eukaryota; Viridiplantae; Streptophyta; Magnoliopsida; Fabales; Fabaceae.
GAACAAAUGGCAUAGUGGUAGAGCUUAUUGUUGUUAUUAAUGUGGUCAUGGGUUCAACUUUCAUGACUUUUGUUCU